Piliocolobus tephrosceles (Ugandan red Colobus) is the source of this 552-nucleotide long non-coding RNA. RefSeq lists it as uncharacterized. The transcript has 4 exons. The record is from RefSeq and is a predicted model, not a curated record. NCBI's taxonomy places the organism in Eukaryota, Metazoa, Chordata, Mammalia, Primates, Cercopithecidae.
CGGGCGGCAGCUCUGCUCGCCCUCGAAGUAGAAGAGCACAUUCUGGUAGAGGGCGAACCACUUCUCGUGCCAGCGGCUCGCCUCGGCCGUCUUCUUACUCAGGAAGCCGCGCUUGGUGCCCUCCUUGCGCGCCAGGAAAGCCAGGCUCAGCUUUCUCAUCACUAAAUUGGAGAUACAGGAGUUGGAGACUUGGAAUCCCCUUUGGUGCAGAAACUAUUCCUUCAAGAGAAGUCCUUAAAUAGGCUCUUUAGAGAAGAGGCCACAUUUUGAAGGCAGCAGGGUCAGAAGAUGGAAGAACCAGGGUCCUUGCAACAUCGGUUAGCUUUGAGUUGCUGGGGGCAGCCUAACCCACAUGGAAUUGUGACAUAAGAAACAAAGCAACUAUUAAAUCAAUGAGAUAUUGGGCUUCUUGUUGUAGCAACUAGUAUAAAUUGCCCUGACUGAUACAUUAUGGAUUUAGAAUGCACUGUACUACAACUGUUUGUUGUAUUUUCAAAAACAGGUUUAUUGUGGUAUAAUUGACUUACAAUAAACUUCAUUUAUUUAAAGAGU